This 421-nucleotide ribosomal RNA is filed under the name uncultured bacterium. Its description in RNAcentral is "bacterial SSU rRNA". It matches the Rfam family "Bacterial small subunit ribosomal RNA", at positions 356 to 773 of the family's 1533-position model. The record is from RNAcentral.
GAGGAAUAUUGGUCAAUGGAGGCAACUCUGAACCAGCCAUGCCGCGUGCAGGAAGACGGUCCUAUGGAUUGUAAACUGCUUUUAUUUAGGAAUAAACCCCCGGUCGUGCACCGGGGCUGAAUGUACUAAAAGAAUAAGCACCGGCUAACUCCGUGCCAGCAGCCGCGGUAAUACGGAGGGUGCAAGCGUUAUCCGGAAUCAUUGGGUUUAAAGGGUCCGCAGGCGGGUAAAUAAGUCAGAGGUGAAAUCCGGCAGCUCAACUGUCGCACUGCCUUUGAUACUGUUUAUCUUGAAUUUUAGUGGAGUGGGCGGAAUAUGUCAUGUAGCGGUGAAAUGCUUAGAUAUGACGUGGAACACCGAUAGCGAAGGCAGCUCACUAACUAUGAAUUGACGCUCAUGGACGAAAGCGUGGGUAGCAAAC